RNAcentral lists this ribosomal RNA (635 nucleotides) under uncultured bacterium. RNAcentral describes it as "bacterial SSU rRNA". It matches the Rfam family "Bacterial small subunit ribosomal RNA", at positions 231 to 857 of the family's 1533-position model. The record is from RNAcentral.
CUGCGGUGCAUUAGCUAGUUGGUAAGGUAACGGCUUACCAAGGCAAUGAUGCAUAGCCGAGUUGAGAGACUGAUCGGCCACAUUGGGACUGAGACACGGCCCAAACUCCUACGGGAGGCAGCAGUAGGGAAUCUUCCACAAUGGACGAAAGUCUGAUGGAGCAACGCCGCGUGAGUGAAGAAGGGUUUCGGCUCGUAAAGCUCUGUUGGUAGUGAAGAAAGAUAGAGGUAGUAACUGGCCUUUAUUUGACGGUAAUUACUUAGAAAGUCACGGCUAACUACGUGCCAGCAGCCGCGGUAAUACGUAGGUGGCAAGCGUUGUCCGGAUUUAUUGGGCGUAAAGCGAGUGCAGGCGGUUCAAUAAGUCUGAUGUGAAAGCCUUCGGCUCAACCGGAGAAUUGCAUCAGAAACUGUUGAACUUGAGUGCAGAAGAGGAGAGUGGAACUCCAUGUGUAGCGGUGGAAUGCGUAGAUAUAUGGAAGAACACCAGUGGCGAAGGCGGCUCUCUGGUCUGCAACUGACGCUGAGGCUCGAAAGCAUGGGUAGCGAACAGGAUUAGAUACCCUGGUAGUCCAUGCCGUAAACGAUGAGUGCUAAGUGUUGGGAGGUUUCCGCCUCUCAGUGCUGCAGCUAACG